GCCAUCUCCAACCAAAAGUUGGCAUUAUUAUCAAUGCUAUUGCCACUUCAAAACAGGCUCCAAGCGCCCAGAAACACUAUGAAAAAUAAUUAUUUCAUAUGAGCAAUGUAAAUGUUUAUAUCAAAUUUAUUUAUAAGAAGAAAUUCUGCAUACAAUGUUACUCUGAAAUAAUAACUGAUGUUAUUCAUAUCUGCUCUAAGAGCA
Long non-coding RNA from Bombus pascuorum, 204 nucleotides. RefSeq lists it as uncharacterized. The record is from RefSeq and is a predicted model, not a curated record. The transcript is spliced from 2 exons. Lineage: Eukaryota; Metazoa; Arthropoda; Insecta; Hymenoptera; Apidae.